This 457-nucleotide ribosomal RNA is filed under the name Achromobacter spanius. Its description in RNAcentral is "bacterial SSU rRNA". It matches the Rfam family "Bacterial small subunit ribosomal RNA", at positions 22 to 474 of the family's 1533-position model. The record is from RNAcentral. Lineage: Bacteria; Pseudomonadati; Pseudomonadota; Betaproteobacteria; Burkholderiales; Alcaligenaceae.
GCUCAGAUUGAACGCUAGCGGGAUGCCUUACACAUGCAAGUCGAACGGCAGCACGGACUUCGGUCUGGUGGCGAGUGGCGAACGGGUGAGUAAUGUAUCGGAACGUGCCUAGUAGCGGGGGAUAACUACGCGAAAGCGUAGCUAAUACCGCAUACGCCCUACGGGGGAAAGCAGGGGAUCGCAAGACCUUGCACUAUUAGAGCGGCCGAUAUCGGAUUAGCUAGUUGGUGGGGUAACGGCUCACCAAGGCGACGAUCCGUAGCUGGUUUGAGAGGACGACCAGCCACACUGGGACUGAGACACGGCCCAGACUCCUACGGGAGGCAGCAGUGGGGAAUUUUGGACAAUGGGGGAAACCCUGAUCCAGCCAUCCCGCGUGUGCGAUGAAGGCCUUCGGGUUGUAAAGCACUUUUGGCAGGAAAGAAACGUCAUGGGCUAAUACCCCGUGAAACUGACG